Molecule: ribosomal RNA, 393 nt
Filed under: uncultured bacterium
Lineage: Bacteria
Description: partial 16S ribosomal RNA
Rfam family: Bacterial small subunit ribosomal RNA
Source: RNAcentral
AUACGGAGGAUGCGAGCGUUAUCCGGAUUUAUUGGGUUUAAAGGGAGCGCAGGCGGAGAUGCAAGCGUGACGUCAAAUUUCGGGGCUCAACCCCGUCUCGCGUCGCGAACUGCGUCCCUUGGUUGCGGGAAGGGGAGGCGGAACUCGUGGUGUAGCGGUGAAAUGCAUAGAUAUCACGAAGAACUCCGAUCGCGAAGGCAGCCUUCCGGCCCGUCAACGACGCUCAUGCUCGAAGGUGCGGGUAUCAAACAGGAUUAGAUACCCUGGUAGUCCGCACAGUAAACGAUGGACACCCGCGGUUUGGCCUGUAUGGCUGAGCCGCCAAGCGAAAGCGUUAAGUGUCCCACCUGGGGAGUACGCCGGCAACAGUGAAACUCAAAUGAAUUGACGGGG